GCCUCACUAUUUUGCCCAGGCGGCUCUCAAGCUCCUGGCUUCAAGCAGUCCUCCCGCCUUGACCUCUCAAUGUGUUGGGACUGCAGCCGUGAGCCAAGAUGCCAGGCGUUUUUACUUAUCUUUAUGACUUUAUCUUUCAAAAUUACUAACACACAUUCCCUUUGACCCAGCCAUCCCACUUCCAGAAACAUCUGAUGACACUCCCACCAGUGCAAAUAAUCUGUGCAGGCGGCCAUUGCCUACGUGGUCGGUAACAGCAAACUACUCAGGUGCCCAUCUUAUGUACUCAUAAGAAAUAAUCUUCAAGGUGUAUUUCUAUGUGGAAAGAGAAGCUGCACAACAGUAUGCACAGCUUGUUACCAUUUAUGAAAAAAGAAGACAAACAUAUGUGCUUGUGUGUGUUUGUGCUCUGGAAGGGCUUGUGAGGAAAGGAUAACAUUGGCUGGGGAGGAGAGAUGGCUGGGUGGAUGUGGGCCCUGCGGACUUUUUAUUAAGAGAGAAGGAUCCUUCUCUCCUCCUGGCCAGUUAAGCCCAGCUCUGGAUGUACAGCCACAGGAGGCCAGCCUCUCCAACUGCAGUUUGCCCCAGACGAGGACAAACAUGGCCCCUGUUUCGUGGAGGAGUUGAGCAAUCACAUCAGACCUAGAACAAUGUGCAGAUGGGGGACCCCUGCACUCCCUGCCUCCACCAUCCAGGAAUGUGACCCACCCUGGGGCUUGGGGAUGACGCCUGCCAGCAUGCUUCAAAGGGCUCAAAAAAGUCCUGGUUCUAACAUGCAGCUAGUUCACUUUGGAAACUCAAUUAAUUCACAAGAUGAAAUGGCCAUAGAGAUUUCUACAUGAAAAAAAAGGGAAUGUAAAAUCAAAAGAUCACUAUGACCAAAAUACCUGACAGAAGAGAAAAACAACCAAGAUGCUACUGAGGUUUUUGGUUUGUUUGGAGAGAUAGGGAUCUUGCUAUGUUGCCCAGGCUGCUCAAACUCCUGGCCUCAAAGUGAUCCUCCCACUUCGGCCUCCCAGAGUGCCUGACAAGACUGCUAUCCUGUUGGAAGAGCUCCGGACCUGGCUUGGAGAUGUAGGCUUCCUCUGGAUUCUGCUGUCACCGACGGCUCUCGGGUUUCACCCAGGUGAGCUCUGGAGUCCUUCCCGUGUUGCCUCAGCGGAUCCCAGACAGCUCUGUGUCCAAAGAGCCCCUCUCCGGCUGUCAGCGCUGUGUCCCCCAGAACUGCACAGUGCCCAGGGGGCUCACUGGGGCAGUUCCAAUUCCUAGGCCCAGAUGCAUGGGUUGAAUCAUGUCCCCGCUAAAAGAUGCUGAAGUCUUAACUCCCAGUAUCUGUGAAUGUGAAAUAGGGUCUUUGCGAGGACCUAUUUGCAAAGGGAGCCUGAGGACCUGAGGGAACCUUGACUGUCGCUAUGCCCCGACGUGGUGGGAACCCUCCUGACCACUGAGUUGAGGGCCUGGGCCAUUGUGAAGGACCAGCCUUGCGAGGCACCUGUGGGAGAACUCAUAGAUGGACAGCAGAAGGACAGGUGGAGGAUGGACGCCCGGCCGGAGGCCCUGCAGCACCCGUGGUGGCUUCUCCUGUGCUUUCUGCCCUGGUCCUCGGGUUGCCGUGAGUUGGCAAAGACGCACACACGCACAGCCCAUGGAGCUCGCCAGGUGUUCACGUGUUACUUCCACAAACAAGUCCCGGUGGCACCGAGCCAGGCUCCAGGGCACAGGGGAAAGCACUGAGUGUGGACUUAGAGCCAGCUCCACCCAUCCAUGCUUGGGGGGCCUUGGGGAGGUGGUCAACUUCCUGGAGCUCUGGACUCCCCCCUGAAUAACGGAAGGCCGCGUGGUCGUGAUGAUGAAGAGGAGGCCUGGGGCACCCGGCCAAACCGCAUGUGGCUCCUUCACCAUGCAGCUUUUCCAGGACCUCCUGUGUGUCAGAGAGAGUGCAGACAGUGAACAAAACUCAUACAGUCCCUGCCUCGGGGGUCGACGCCACAUGGGGAGCACGGCGGUGAGGAGGAGAGGGGAGGUGGCUCAUAGGCGGGGCAAGGAUCUGGGGGUGGCUGCCCCAGAGAACCCCCAAACUGAUAGAACUUGGCAAGUGUCCUAGGAGCGCUUAUGAGGACAAGGAAUAACUGGUUCUCCGGGAAGGGAGGGAUGGGGGUGGGGCACCUGGGAGGUUGAGCUAAGCUGCAGAGCGGGGAAUGACCUCUCAGCCCCUCCAGCUCCCGCGGUCAGGCCAGUGAGUGGCAAAACUUCUAGACAAGCAGCUGCAGCAGGUUGCCUGAGGCUCCCAGGCAGCGUGAGGGCCACACCCAGCCCAGGGCCAGACCUCUCCGAGUCUGCAGAACCAGGCAGAGGUUGACCCACAGGGCUGUCCCGCUCCGCGCUAUGUCCCCCAGAGCACUGAGACUCAAGAUGGGGCACCCACAAACCCUGCACACCUCCGCUUGGUCAGUCCUAGGCUUCAAAAGGGCGCCCAUUUUCCCAUCCCUUCAUCAGCUCAGCUGCUCUCAAGGCUUUCUACUGUCCGCACUCCUCUUAACUUGUGGCAUUCUUGCAGCGGUUUGUCUAAGGCAUCUCUAGUUCAGCCUCCUGUCUGAUGCUGUAAUAGCAGCAGCGCACGUGCAGAAUGGACCGGUGCAUGAGAAGGCUUCAUUCUGCACCUGCUUGUCCUCACUCCUCACUCCUUUCAGCUGAAACGUGAUGACGUUCCUCCUGGCAGUGUGUCCGUGUGUGGUUUAAGGGGAUGGCAUCGUACUCCUCUCUGGCAUGUGGCCAGAGAGAACCAGCUGUGAGCAGAAUGAGACAGCUGCUGCUAUGGCCUCAACUGUGCCUCCCCCAAAUUCCCAUGUUGAAGUCCUAACCCCAGGUCCCUCAGAAUGGGACUGUACUUGGAGACAGAGUCUUUAAAGAAGUCAUUAAGUUAAAAUGAGGUCACCAGGGUGGGCCCUAAUCCAGUUUGACUGGUGUCCUUAUAAGAAGAGAUGAGGACACAGACACACAGGGGAAACCGUGUGAAGACACAGCGAGAUGGUGGCCAUCUGCAAUCCCAGGAGAGAGGCCUCUGAAGGAACCAACCCUGCCAACACCCAACCCUGCCAAUACCUUGGACUUCUGGCCUCCAGACCAUGAGAAAACAGAGUUCCGCAGCAUAAGUGCCCAGUGUGCAGUCCCGUGUUACAGCAGCACAGCAGCCACCCUUGGGGAACUGACCUGCGGCUGACAAACGUGUGUUAUCGGUGUCUAUGGGGCAGGAGUGAUGCCAGGCGCCUGACCUGCUCUCCGCAGGGACAGUCAGAAGCAGCACCCAUGGCCUGUGGGGCCCAUUUUGUCAGACACUUUACCUAUUAGUCAUGCUUCACCACAAGUAAACCAACCCUGGGAGAGCCCCAGAGCCUCUGAGAGGAAAAGCCAGGGCUCAGACCAGGCGGUCCGGCUGCCCUCCCCAGGCCUUGCAUGGGCAGCAGAGGGGAGGCUGGGCCGGGCAAGGGUGAUGUGGUGAUGGACACAUUGUUGGCUAAUGGCAGGCCCUUUCUGCCUGAUUUGCACCCCUGCAUUUUUCAUUAUCAAAAUGAGCCACCUUCUGUGAAGUUGUAGGCCCUGGGAGCUGAGGAUCACUGCCUUAAGAAUCCACUCACCUCAAUGAAAAUCAAAUCACUGCUCAGAACGAAGGGAGCAAUUUAUCCCAGAAUGGAUCUGUGAUUUCUGUUCUUACCGAUCCCAUUGGACUGCCAAACUCAUAACACUUAUCUGCCUGAAAUCACAGAUGUGUAUAGAAAGGGAGGUACCAGAUCAGGGGCAGUGCCAAACCCAGUGAGCACACUGUAAGAAGAUAACAGGCGGAGUGCAUCAUGGUCUGCUGGGGAGAAGCUCCCUGCAUUCCCAGCACCUUCCUGCAUGUGCCAGAGGGCAGAUGUGUGUGCCUGCGGCCCCCUGCCUCACUCAGCACCUCCUCUGGAAGUGCUUCCUACCCUUCGUCCUCUCCCAGGUGACCCAGCUGGGCCUGGCACAGGGAGGGUGUCUGUGUUGGGUGAAUGGACACUCUUGCUGUGGUUGCAGUUGCUGUGUAUACACACAUGCACAAGCACCUGCUUUAAGGUUUGGCUAACUUCAGAGGCAGGGAGGUUUGGACAAAGCUGGUAUCCCAGUGUGACCCAUUUUCGGAAUGCAAGGGAGAGAAUUCAAGCCUCACAGAGAGGAGUGACACCAGCCAGGAACCUCUGAGCUGUGUCCCAGGAGCCCAAGGGACCUUCCUAAGGCUUUGGGGGUCCACAGGAUGGGCAGGGGAGGAGGAAGGACUCUGGGCCUCCGGGCCCAGCACUGACCGGAGCAGCAACCCUCUGAGCUGUUUCUGCAUCCAUUCUCCUUUAAAGAAAGGAUUCUGCUGACACAAGCAAAGUCUGGUGCCAAGACCUGCUCAUCCUAAGUUUCUAGGUCUAGCAGCAUAAACACAACAGAAGAAUGCGGAGGCAGAAGAGUGUAGGGACCCCCAAAUAGUACAAUACCUUUGCCCCUUCAUUUUGAAAAAAUCCCCACCCCAACAAGGAGAACAAGAAAAAGAAAAGAAAGGCUGAGCCUAUGACCUUGAUCACAUCCACAAGGCGGUAUCUAUGUCCCCAAGCCCCAACACAUAUCAGCGGGAAGUGGGCAGGGAGAUGGCAAAUAGCUGAGCAGGGAGGGGGGCCAGGGAAGAGAAACAGGGCAACUAGGGCCCCAACAUUCCAGAAGGGUCAGGGAUAGGGGGUCCCCAGAGUCUCAAGAGGUGUGGGAGGCAGAGUCUGAAGGAAUGUGCAAGAAUACAGCCUGUGCCGAGACCAUGUGCUCCUCUUACCCUGUUGCCUUUUCUUCCAGGGCACACAGCUGGACUACAUUUCCCAGCCUCCCUUGCAGCCAGGUGGCACCAUGUGACUACACUCUGGCCAAUGGGAUGUGGACAGAGUGAUGACCACACUUUUGGCCUGGGCCUCCAUAACUCUCAGGGCAGCCCUUGCUCCACGUGCCCUUUCCUGCCCGUCCUUCCUGGGCACCUGGAAGCAGAAUAUCCAGGGGAAGACUUGGAGGCCCCAGAAGGCACAGACCCUAAAGCAUUUCUCAACCACACUUUCUCAUCUGAACCACAGCCCACAGUCAAUGACUGGCGUGCCCAUUUCCCCAACCGGUCAUGCGCCUAAAGAGGGUGCAUAACUGGCUUCGUUCCAGGUGUGCAGGAGGAAAGUUAUUCCCUGCACGCCAUGAUGCCUUCGCUGUGAGUCCUUGAUUCCCUCCUGGAAUCUGGCCGAGAAAGGCUGUGAGACGAAAGACCCACUAAAAAGAAGAACCUUAAGUCCUUGCGUGACUGCGUAGAAUAGAACCUUCAUCUCCUGCGGUGACAUCCCACUGCCACACAUCAGGAAACACCACUUCAUCGGGCCAGGCAGAGAUUGGCACUUGCUUCUUACAGCAAUUAGCCAUCCCUGACCAACAGAGAGCCCUGUCCUGCGCCUCAGCAGUCAGGUAACCACCCCUACCCCAACCCCAUCUCCCAAGCGGGGCCGGGGAGGAGUCUUCUCUGGAAAGACGCGGGACAGGAGAACAACAGGCCCAGAGGAAGGCUGGUGAGGAACCCACAGAAGAUGAGUGAGUUGAGGGAAGUCCGGCCUCUCCAGUCUACCUCCCCGCCCUGAGCAAGCGGGUAGCCAGCCGGGAUCAGCCCCCCAGCAGGGGACUGGAGGACCUUUCUCCAGGGAAGUGGAAACUUCAGCCUGUCCUUGGGGCCUGGUGCCCGGCUGGGUGCUCGGUGUAUUCCAGGCUGUCGGGCCCUCUGAGUGCCGAAUCCUGGGCUGAGCGCUGGGAUGUCCGUCCCCAGUCACCAGCUCCCUGAGGGGCUUGAGUUAUGGUGUAGGUGUGCCCAGGAUGGGGCAUAAAAAGUGAAUAAAGUGGGGCUCCAGAGGAGUCACUCAUUCCCGGGGUACUCAGCGGCUUGCCUAGAACAAUGGCAUUUGGAAUCACAACUGAAUGACAAGGAGGAUUUCAAAGGCUGCAGGAGGCCCAGUCCCCGUAGGCCACAUCCAGGGGAGGACGCAGUGAAGAUUCUAGGAGCUGGGAAAGUGGGGUCACUCCUGGCUAAGUCACUCCUAGCUCCACCUUAGGGACAAGGGACCGAGGCUUUGGUGGAGUGGUGGGCUGUGGACCCAGCAGCUCUGAGUGGAGAGCCCACCUCCUUCCCGUUGUCCUGUAACCUCCCCUGGGCCCUUUCCGUGCCAAGACCGUGCCAAGACCACAAGCAGCCGCAGAGGCCACCCAGGGUGCUGCCGGCUGGUGUCCAGCGCUCUCCUCACCCUUAGACUUGCUCGCCAGGACAGCUUCGCAAGAUGGCCUCCCCUCUGAAACUGGUAAAUGGAGCCCCUGAAUGCCAAAUGAAGGUGACGGCCGCAUACACGCUCCCAGUCACUCACUGGGAUGGCCAGUGUAUGCUUAUUAACAAGGGCCCAGAUGAAACAUGAAUCUGAAGGACCUCAUGUUAGCUCUCUCCCGGAGGCUGUCGGGCCCGACGCAGGCUGCCUCACAAGAAGCGGGGGGCGGGGGCGUGCUGCAUGCCACUGUGACCCCUCUGUCAUUCAUUAAGCAAAGGAGCCAACCUUAUUGGUGCUUGGCUGUCUAGUAAGACGACUGAGAAAAAUCUAGCCUUUCUGCAGAGACGGAAAGCCACCACUCACGUUUCCCGGCAGAAACGGCCACCUGGCUCCAGUAAUUAGGCAAACCCAGCCUUUAUUUCUCAGGAAGUCUUACUUUCAUCUCCGAGGAGGAUGGUAGGGUAUGGAAUGGGGGACCCAGGGGAGGGCAGUGUAUUUGAGAGCAGAGCCAUCUCCUGCUUGGCUUAAAAAGAUUCACAUUCAAGCAGCACUCGGAUCAAACUAGUAACAGUUGUCUGAGGGCAUCAGAGAUGAUGUUUGAAUUCACGGUGAUGGAAACACGGGAGAGGGAGUUAAUGCGUCACUCAGAGCCACCUCUCUGAUUCUCAGUUACCCUGUUAUUGUUCUUAAUCUGCUAAAUUGUAAAAAAAAAAAAAAAAAA
Long non-coding RNA from Cercocebus atys (sooty mangabey), 7050 nucleotides. RefSeq lists it as uncharacterized. NCBI's taxonomy places the organism in Eukaryota, Metazoa, Chordata, Mammalia, Primates, Cercopithecidae. The record is from RefSeq and is a predicted model, not a curated record. The transcript is spliced from 2 exons.